GCUCUUGGAGCUCUUGGAGAUCCAGCACAGGGCUGGGGGACAGGUGAGGGGCCUUGAGGGCGUUUCUUUUGUGAGGGCAGGCUGAGGGAGCUGGGCCUGUUCAAUGCCGAGAAGAGAUGACUGACAGGGGACUGUAUCAAUGUGUAUAAAUACCUGAAGGGAAGGCGUCAGAGGAUGGAACCAGGUGGUGCCGAGCAAUAGGACAGGAGGCAAUGGGCACAAACUGAUGCACAGGACUUCCACCUUAACAUGAGGAAGAACUCCUUUGCUGUGGGCAGCAGGUGCAGCCGUGUUUUUCUCAAUGACCAAUUCCAGAUUCACCAAAACCAGGACCUCCUAUUACGUGUCUCUUCUAGAUGGAAGAGUUAAAUUUUUCAUUUAAAUAAAUGCAUUCUGUGGCCAUUUGAACCCAGUCAGCGGCUAAGAGUGUUCUUCUGGAGAGACCACACGCAACUCCAGCAUGGAGGAAUUCCAUGCCUGAAGCAGAGAGCCCUUUCUGAGCUCAGCAGCCCACAGCAUCACUGGAGACCACGUGUCAGAACACUUGGCACAGUGACAUCAGCCUGAUUUUCCCAUCUUCCAAAGGUGGAAAAGCACUAUUUGUUAUUCAAGAUGGGUUUGUUGCAACCAAUAAGCAGAGGAUAUUAGUAACAGUAGGAUGCUAAUCUUGUUUCCAUAUCUCAGUUCAAUGCCACAACUUUUUGAGGAUGAGGUCACUAUUUUACCCUUGAUUGUUAUUUAAUUUAUAAAAAUCCAUAUCACACUUUAAACAAAAGUUUUACUGUAGAAAUUUUUCUAAGGUAAGAAAUUUCAGGAUGCUAUCAUCUUAUUUCAGUGAUUUUCUGCUGAUGAUGCUACAGAAUGAAUUGAAAACUAUAUGGCAAGUUGGUCGCCAAGUUAGGGUUCACUGCCCAACUCCCAUGCUCUUGAUAAGCUGGGCAUUAAUGAUGUUUCCUGCCUCCAGAGGCUAGGGAGCCUUCUGAUGAAGGGAAAGUGAUCAGAAGUUUAAAACAGAUCCUAGGAGAGCAAAGAGUAAGUAAUGCUGUACCUAUUUGGGGAAAUGGUUGAAUUCGGAGUAAAUCUCCAAGUCUGAGUGUCUCCUGAUGAAAGAAAAAAAUAUCACAAACAGGGGGGAAGACUAUAGUUUAGGUGGAUGGUUGCACUAAGUGGAUAGGAUACUACUUCUCUUCAAGAUGAAGAAGCAACAACAAUGAACAAUGUGGAACUCAAAAACUAUUCACAAUCAGUUCACAGCUGUAUUCUGGCUAUCAAGGGCAAAAUACAUUUCCACUAUCUUUGCCCUCUGCUGCAGGUAAAGGAAGAAUCAGUCUUACAAAAAUCCAUUAAUAAUAUGUUUUAUGUGUAAAUAGAUGUGCCAUUACUCAAAUAAUACACAUCUAGAAAAGUAAAAGAAAAAUCAAUCAAAUUAAAAUUCCUGAAAGUAGUAAUAGAAAGGUAUGUACUCAGUGUACGUAUGAUAUAUGUACAGAACAUUUUUGCCUUAUGACAGAGACAAGCCUUUUAAAAUUAUUACCAACACAGAAUUAACAUUAGAGACCAGACAAGAGAACAUUAGAGAAUACACAAGAAGAUGGCACUGUGCAUCAAAUGUCAUUAUUUCUCAUGAGGAGCCAGUCACAUGUUUUUAAAGCAGCGGUUUGUAAUGCCCAUUCUGAAAGGCCACAGAGAGCUGUCUGCUCAGCCAUGCUGAGUAAUGUAUUAGCAGUAAUAACCAGCAUUCUGCCUGAUUGGAUGACCAGAGAACUUUGAUCUUGCAAAUGAUGUACUGUAGGUGGUUCCCAACCACCUAAAGAAAAACAGAAAAACAUAUAAAUAGUUCAUUUUCUUUAAAGCUCAUGAUGUCUGUAGUCUUUCCAAACAAAAUUAAUACCCUGAGAAUCCAUAAGGUGCUGCUCCAUUAUUUGGUAUCCCUUCUGA
Passer domesticus (house sparrow) is the source of this 1938-nucleotide long non-coding RNA. RefSeq lists it as uncharacterized. The transcript is spliced from 3 exons. The record is from RefSeq and is a predicted model, not a curated record. Lineage: Eukaryota; Metazoa; Chordata; Aves; Passeriformes; Passeridae.